Long non-coding RNA from Suricata suricatta (meerkat), 665 nucleotides. RefSeq lists it as uncharacterized. NCBI's taxonomy places the organism in Eukaryota, Metazoa, Chordata, Mammalia, Carnivora, Herpestidae. The transcript is spliced from 3 exons. The record is from RefSeq and is a predicted model, not a curated record.
UAAGCCAGUCAUAAAGCAGAACUGUGCUACACCAAUUGAGACAUACGAUCACCCUACAUUACAAGAAGUUUUGGUCCAGGUGGAAAAUAAGAAUACAAAACAGAGAGCAAACUUUGGUAUUACCCUACCAAGUACUAUAAGAGGGUCCUGUUUCAAGAAUACAUCAUACAUUUGGAAACCAUGAAGCUACAAUGAUGAUGAAGCAUCAGUGAUAAAUGGUACCACCCAAGCCACCAUUCUAAUAAUGAACUCACUCACACUAACUUGAUUCACACUCAAGGUGCUUUUGAAACAUGAUUAAGCCUCCAAACAUUCCACAAAGAAUUCAAGUUUUGAAGGACAAGAAGAAGUAUUAGCUUGAGUUUUCUCCAACCUACAGUAACAUCUGUUCUGCUGCUUCAAUGACAGAUUUCAGAAGAAACACAACAACCAGUCCCAGUAACUGCUAUUAUCAUGUUGCUUUUGGUCUAAAGGUCUUCAGCACGUUUCUAUUGGAUUAAUCAAUACAUUUAUUUUCAUCUGACUUGAUGGCUUUACCUCCAACAAGCAGCUGUCUAACCGAAGAUUCCACAACAAACAGCAUCACCAAGAAAUUGGGAUCGAGCGUGAAGUACUUCUAGAGACUAUGAAAUGUGUAAAAGAAAAUAAAGAAAGAUAUACCACUG